RNAcentral lists this ribosomal RNA (465 nucleotides) under Vreelandella stevensii. Its description in RNAcentral is "partial 16S ribosomal RNA". It matches the Rfam family "Bacterial small subunit ribosomal RNA", at positions 338 to 795 of the family's 1533-position model. The record is from RNAcentral. Lineage: Bacteria; Pseudomonadati; Pseudomonadota; Gammaproteobacteria; Oceanospirillales; Halomonadaceae.
CCUACGGGUGGCUGCUGUGGGGAAUAUUGGACAAUGGGGGGAACCCUGAUCCAGCCAUGCCGCGUGUGUGAAGAAGGCCCUCGGGUUGUAAAGCACUUUCAGUGAGGAAGAACGCCUGGUGGUUAAUACCCAUCAGGAAAGACAUCACUCACAGAAGAAGCACCGGCUAACUCCGUGCCAGCAGCCGCGGUAAUACGGAGGGUGCGAGCGUUAAUCGGAAUUACUGGGCGUAAAGCGCGCGUAGGUGGCUUGAUAAGCCGGUUGUGAAAGCCCCGGGCUCAACCUGGGAACGGCAUCCGGAACUGUCAAGCUAGAGUGCAGGAGAGGAAGGUAGAAUUCCCGGUGUAGCGGUGAAAUGCGUAGAGAUCGGGAGGAAUACCAGUGGCGAAGGCGGCCUUCUGGACUGACACUGACACUGAGGUGCGAAAGCGUGGGUAGCAAACAGGAUUAGAUACCCCAGUAGUC